UAGGGAAUAUUGGGCAAUGGAGGCAACUCUGACCCAGCAACGCCGCGUGAAUGAAGAAGGUUUUAGGAUUGUAAAGUUCUGUUCUUAGGGAAGAAAAAAAUGACGGUACCUGAGAAGAAAGCCCCGGCAAACUACGUGCCAGCAGCCGCGGUAAUACGUAGGGGGCAAGCGUUGUCCGGAAUGACUGGGCGUAAAGGGAGUGUAGGUGGUUUUGCAAGUUAACUGUGAAAGCCUUGGGCUUAACCCAAGAAUUGCAGUUAAAACUGCUCGACUAGAGUGCAGGAGAGGAAAGUGGAAUUCCAUGUGUAGCGGUAGAAUGCGUAGAUAUAUGGAGGAACAUCGGUGGCGAAGGCGGCUUUCUGGACUGUAACUGACACUGAGACUCGAAAGCGUGGGGAGCAAACA
RNAcentral lists this ribosomal RNA (405 nucleotides) under uncultured Bacillota bacterium. RNAcentral describes it as "uncultured Firmicutes bacterium partial 16S ribosomal RNA". It matches the Rfam family "Bacterial small subunit ribosomal RNA", at positions 355 to 774 of the family's 1533-position model. Lineage: Bacteria; Bacillati; Bacillota. The record is from RNAcentral.